This 345-nucleotide unclassified non-coding RNA is filed under the name soil metagenome. RNAcentral's name for it is "partial contains 5.8S ribosomal RNA, internal transcribed spacer 2, and large subunit ribosomal RNA". The stretch from base 1 to 120 matches the Rfam family "5.8S ribosomal RNA", at positions 35 to 154 of the family's 154-position model. The record is from RNAcentral.
GAUGAAGAACGCAGUGAAAUGCGAUACGUAAUGUGAAUUGCAGAAUUCAGUGAAUCAUCGAGUCUUUGAACGCACAUUGCGCCCCCUGGUAUUCCGGGGGGCAUGCCUGUCCGAGCGUCAUUGCUGCCCUCAAGCACGGCUUGUGUGUUGGGCCUCCGUCCUCCUCCCGGGGGACGGGCCCGAAAGGCAGCGGCGGCACCGCGUCCGGUCCUCGAGCGUAUGGGGCUUUGUCACCCGCUCUGUAGGCCCGGCCGGCGCUUGCCGAUCAACCCAAAUUUUUAUCCAGGUUGACCUCGGAUCAGGUAGGGAUACCCGCUGAACUUAAGCAUAUCAAUAAGCGGAGGA